This 487-nucleotide ribosomal RNA is filed under the name uncultured bacterium. RNAcentral describes it as "bacterial SSU rRNA". It matches the Rfam family "Bacterial small subunit ribosomal RNA", at positions 30 to 501 of the family's 1533-position model. The record is from RNAcentral.
AUUGAACGCUGGCGGCAUGCCUAACACAUGCAAGUCGAACGGCAGCACGAGGGGCUUGCUCCUUGGUGGCGAGUGGCGGACGGGUGAGUAAUGCAUAGGAAUUUGCCUAGUAGUGGGGGACAACUCGAGGAAACUCGAGCUAAUACCGCAUAAGCCCUACGGGGGAAAGCGUGGGAUCUUCGGACCUCGCGCUAUUAGAUAAGCCUAUGUCCGAUUAGCUAGUUGGUAGGGUAAAGGCCUACCAAGGCGACGAUCGGUAGCUGGUCUGAGAGGAUGAUCAGCCACACUGGGACUGAGACACGGCCCAGACUCCUGCGGGAGGCAGCAGUGGGGAAUAUUGGACAAUGGGCGAAAGCCUGAUCCAGCAAUGCCGCGUGUGUGAAGAAGGCCUGCGGGUUGUAAAGCACUUUCAAUAGUGAAGAAAAGUUAGCGGAUGGGCUAAUACCCUGUUCGGAUGACGGUACCACCAGAAGAAGCACCGGCUAAC